RNAcentral lists this ribosomal RNA (228 nucleotides) under uncultured bacterium. RNAcentral describes it as "partial 16S ribosomal RNA". It matches the Rfam family "Bacterial small subunit ribosomal RNA", at positions 15 to 236 of the family's 1533-position model. The record is from RNAcentral.
GAUCAUGGCUCAGGAUGAACGCUAGCUACAGGCUUAACACAUGCAAGUCGAGGGGCAGCAUGUUGGUUGCUUGCAACCGAUGAUGGCGACCGGCGCACGGGUGAGUAACGCGUAUCCAACCUACCCUUGUCCAUCGGNUAACCCGUCGAAAGGCGGCCUAACACGAUAUGCGGUUCACCGCAGGCAUCUAACGUGAACGAAAUGUGAAGGAGAAGGAUGGGGAUGCGU